Molecule: unclassified non-coding RNA, 376 nt
Filed under: fungal sp.
Lineage: Eukaryota; Fungi
Description: partial internal transcribed spacer region
Rfam family: Eukaryotic small subunit ribosomal RNA (bases 1-46)
Source: RNAcentral
AAGUCGUAACAAGGUUUCCGUAGGUGAACCUGCGGAAGGAUCAUUAACACAUCCUUUUAUAACUAUAAACAAUUUCGCAUUCCCGAGCCUGUUUGAGGCGAAGUCUGUUUGAGCUGUGGUUGAUUUAGUUAGCUUGACAGAACUCCCCUUGCCUCUUUUGGUGAGAUCGGAACUUCGACUUCUCAGGUAUACAGUCUCAACCAUGACUGGAACUUUUUUUCUUUUUACUGCCUAAUUGGACUGAUUUAGAUGUGGAUUGAGCUGAACCAACUCUCUUGUAGAGGAGGGGAAGUUCUCUGCAUCGCUCUUUAGAUGGUAGUCUUGUACUACUAUUUAAUGUUAAACACAACUCUUAACAGCGGAUAUCUCGGUUCUC